UACGGGGGGGGCAAGCGUUGUUCGGAAUUACUGGGCGUAAAGGGCUCGUAGGCGGCCAACUAAGUCAGACGUGAAAUCCCUCGGCUUAACCGGGGAACUGCAUCUGAUACUGGAUGGCUUGAGUUCGGGAGAGGGAUGCGGAAUUCCAGGUGUAGCGGUGAAAUGCGUAGAUAUUCGGCGGAACACCAGUGGCGAAGGCGACUCACUGGCCCGAUACUGACGCUGAGGCGCGAAAGCGUGGGGAGCAAACAGG
This 253-nucleotide ribosomal RNA is filed under the name uncultured bacterium. RNAcentral's name for it is "partial 16S ribosomal RNA". It matches the Rfam family "Bacterial small subunit ribosomal RNA", at positions 524 to 776 of the family's 1533-position model. The record is from RNAcentral.